Molecule: ribosomal RNA, 766 nt
Filed under: uncultured archaeon
Lineage: Archaea
Description: bacterial SSU rRNA
Rfam family: Archaeal small subunit ribosomal RNA
Source: RNAcentral
CCGGACCUGACUGCUAUCGGAUUGGUACUAAGCCAUGCGAGUCAUUGUAGCAAUACAAGGCGGACGGCUCAGUAACACGUAGUCAACCUAACCUAUGGACGUGGAUAACCUCGGGAAACUGAGAAUAAACCGCGAUAGAUCAUUAUGCCUGGAAUGGCUUAUGGUUCAAACAAUUUAUUGCCGUAGGAUGGGACUGCGGCCUAUCAGCUUGUUGGUGAGGUAAUGGCCCACCAAGGCUAUAACAGGUACGGGCUCUGAGAGGAGAAGCCCGGAGAUGGGUACUGAGACACGGACCCAGGCCCUAUGGGGCGCAGCAGGCGAGAAACCUUAGCAAUGUGCGAAAGCACGACUAGGUUAAUCCGAGUGAUUCCUGUUGAAGGAAUCUUUUGUCAGUCGUAAAACCACAGACGAAUAAGGGGUGGGCAAGUCUGGUGUCAGCCGCCGCGGUAAUACCUGCACCUCGAGUGGUCAGGAGGUUUAUUGGGCCUAAAGCAUCCGUAGCCGGCUUUGCAAGUCUCCGGUUAAAUCCAGCUGCUCAACAGAUGGGCUGCCGGAGAUACUACACAGCUAGGGAGCGGGAGAGGCAGACGGUAUUCUGUGGGUAGGGGUAAAAUCCAUUGAUCCAUAGAGGACCACCAGUGGCGAAGCGGUCUGCCAGAACGCGUUCGACGGUGAGGGAUGAAAGCUGGGGAGCAAACNGAUUAGAUACCCGGGUAGUCCCAGCUGUAACGAUGCAAACUCGGUGAUGCAUUGGCUUAUGGCCAAU